RNAcentral lists this ribosomal RNA (520 nucleotides) under uncultured Glomus. RNAcentral's name for it is "SSU rRNA". It matches the Rfam family "Eukaryotic small subunit ribosomal RNA", at positions 569 to 1089 of the family's 1831-position model. Lineage: Eukaryota; Fungi; Glomeromycota; Glomeromycetes; Glomerales; Glomeraceae. The record is from RNAcentral.
AGCAGCCGCGGUAAUUCCAGCUCCAAUAGCGUAUAUUAAAAUUGUUGCAGUUAAAAAGCUCGUAGUUGAAUUUCGGGGUUAGUAGGUUGGUCAUGCCUCUGGUAUGUACUGGUCUCACUGAUUCCUCCUUCCUGAUGAACCUUAAUGCCAUUUAUUUGGUGUUUUGGGGAAUUUGGACUGUUACUUUGAAAAAAUUAGAGUGUUUAAAGCAAGCUAACGCUUGAAUACAUUAGCAUGGAAUAAUGAAAUAGGACGUUCGAUCCUAUUUUGUUGGUUUCUAGGAUUGACGUAAUGAUUAAUAGGGAUAGUUGGGGGCAUUAGUAUUCAAUUGUCAGAGGUGAAAUUCUUGGAUUUAUUGAAGACUAACUACUGCGAAAGCAUUUGCCAAGGAUGUUUUCAUUAAUCAAGAACGAAAGUUAGGGGAUCGAAGACGAUCAGAUACCGUCGUAGUCUUAACCAUAAACUAUGCCGACUAGGGAUCGGAUGAUGUUAAUUUUUUUAAUGACUCAUUCGGCGCCUU